RNAcentral lists this ribosomal RNA (414 nucleotides) under uncultured microorganism. RNAcentral's name for it is "bacterial SSU rRNA". It matches the Rfam family "Archaeal small subunit ribosomal RNA", at positions 459 to 872 of the family's 1478-position model. The record is from RNAcentral.
CAGCAGCCGCGGUAAUACCGGCGGCCCGAGUGGCGGCCACUAUUAUUGGGCUUAAAGCGUCCGUAGCCGGGUUGGUUAGUCUCCCGGGAAAUCUGGCCGCUUAACGGUCAGAAUUCCGGGGGAUACUGCCAGCCUAGGGACCGGGAGAGGCCGAGGGUAUUCCCGGAGUAGGGGUGAAAUCCUAUAAUCCCGGGAGGACCACCUGUGGCGAAGGCGCUCGGCUGGAACGGGUCCGACGGUGAGGGACGAAGGCCAGGGGAGCAAACCGGAUUAGAUACCCGGGUAGUCCUGGCUGUAAACGAUGCGGACUUUGUGUCGGACAAGCUAUGAGCUUGUCCGGUGCCGGAGGGAAACCGUUAAGUCCGCCGCCUGGGGAGUACGGCCGCAAGGCUGAAACUUAAAGGAAUUGGCGGG